AUGAACGCUGGCGGCGUGCCUAAUACAUGCAAGUCGAGCGAACGGACGAGAAGCUUGCUUUUCUGAUGUUAGCGGCGGACGGGUGAGUAACACGUGGAUAACCUACCUAUAAGACUGGGAUAACUUCGGGAAACCGGAGCUAAUGCCGGAUAAUAUUUUGAGCCGCAUGGUUCAAAAGUGAAAGACGGUCUUGCUGUCACUUAUAGAUGGAUCCGCGCUGCAUUAGCUAGUUGGUAAGGUAACGGCUUACCAAGGCAACGAUGCAUAGCCGACCUGAGAGGGUGAUCGGCCACACUGGAACUGAGACACGGUCCAGACUCCUACGGGAGGCAGCAGUAGGGAAUCUUCCGCAAUGGGCGAAAGCCUGACGGAGCAACGCCGCGUGAGUGAUGAAGGUCUUCGGAUCGUAAAACUCUGUUAUUAGGGAAGAACAUAUGUGUAAGUAACUGUGCACAUCUUGACGGUACCUAAUCAGAAAGCCACGGCUAACUACGUG
RNAcentral lists this ribosomal RNA (496 nucleotides) under uncultured bacterium. RNAcentral describes it as "partial 16S ribosomal RNA". It matches the Rfam family "Bacterial small subunit ribosomal RNA", at positions 29 to 507 of the family's 1533-position model. The record is from RNAcentral.